GGGCUCUUGGUCCAGUGGUAAGACGCUCGCAUCAGAAUCUACAAAGCCGUCAUCUGUUGUCCUUCGGGCUGGCAAUGUCGGCAGGGCUCCCUGUUGCCCUGCAGUUCAUGCGAGAGACCCACGUUCGAUUUGUGGAGAACUCA
Non-coding RNA from Pyrenochaeta sp. MPI-SDFR-AT-0127, 143 nucleotides. NCBI's taxonomy places the organism in Eukaryota, Fungi, Ascomycota, Dothideomycetes, Pleosporales, Cucurbitariaceae. The record is from the annotation of a GenBank genome assembly.